UACGGAGGGUGCAAGCGUUAAUCGGAAUUACUGGGCGUAAAGCGUGCGUAGGUGGUUCGUUAAGUCCGUUGUGAAAGCCCCGAGCUCAACUUGGGAAUUGCAGUGGAUACUGGCGAGCUAGAGUGCGGUAGAGGAAGGUGGAAUUCCCGGUGUAGCGGUGAAAUGCGUAGAGAUCGGGAGGAACACCCGUGGCGAAGGCGGCACUCUGGGACGGUACUGACGCUGAGACGCGAAAGCGUGGGGAGCGAGCAGG
Molecule: ribosomal RNA, 253 nt
Filed under: uncultured bacterium
Lineage: Bacteria
Description: partial 16S ribosomal RNA
Rfam family: Bacterial small subunit ribosomal RNA
Source: RNAcentral